AGUGAACGCUGGCGGUAGGCCUAACACAUGCAAGUCGAACGGCAGCACAGUAAGAGCUUGCUCUUACGGGUGGCGAGUGGCGGACGGGUGAGGAAUACAUCGGAAUCUACUUUUUCGGGGGGGAUAACGUAGGGAAACUUACGCUAAUACCGCAUACGACCUACGGGUGAAAGCAGGGGAUCUUCGGACCUUGCGCGAUUGAAUGAGCCGAUGUCGGAUUAGCUAGUUGGCGGGGUAAAGGCCCACCAAGGCGACGAUCCGUAGCUGGUCUGAGAGGAUGAUCAGCCACACUGGAACUGAGACACGGUCCAGACUCCUACGGGAGGCAGCAGUGGGGAAUAUUGGACAAUGGGCGCAGGCCUGAUCCAGCCAUACCGCGUGGGUGAAGAAGGCCUUCGGGUUGUAAAGCCCUUUUGUUGGGAAAGAAAAGCAGCAGGUUAAUACCCCGCUGUUCUGACGGUACCCAAAGAAUAAGCACCGGCUAACUUCGUG
This 492-nucleotide ribosomal RNA is filed under the name uncultured bacterium. RNAcentral describes it as "partial 16S ribosomal RNA". It matches the Rfam family "Bacterial small subunit ribosomal RNA", at positions 29 to 507 of the family's 1533-position model. The record is from RNAcentral.